This is a long non-coding RNA of Cervus elaphus (red deer), 320 nucleotides long. RefSeq lists it as uncharacterized. The record is from RefSeq and is a predicted model, not a curated record. The transcript is spliced from 3 exons. NCBI's taxonomy places the organism in Eukaryota, Metazoa, Chordata, Mammalia, Artiodactyla, Cervidae.
CUCAGCAUUCACAAACCCGGGAAGAACCCAGCCACCUCCAUGGCUGGCAGACCACUGCUCCAGGCAGCAAUAAAGCUCCCAGAGGCCUUUUGUCAAUUGUCCCCUGAACAGAACAUAAACAACUCCAUGGCUGCCAUUCAGCGGACAUCCUGUUUACAUGAAUUCCAGGAAUUCUAAGAAUUCCAGAAUUGGAAACAAACAAACAAGAACAAAAAACCUACAUACCCUACAGAGAAUUGGUGAUGCUAAAUUGCGUUGGGGUUCCUCUGGUUGAGAACACUGACUCUCUGAGAACAUCUGACCUGGUGACAAUGAGGCCG